CGUGCUAGACAUGCAAGUCGAACGAUGAAGCCCAGCUUGCUGGGUGGAUUAGUGGCGAACGGGUGAGUAACACGUGAGUAACCUGCCCUUAACUCUGGGAUAAGCCUGGGAAACUGGGUCUAAUACCGAAUAGGAGCGUCCACAGGCUGGCGGGACAUCAAAAAGAUUUAUCGGAGUUGGAUGGACUCGCGGGCUAUCAGCUUGUUGGUGACGGGUAGCCGGCCUGAGAGGGUGACCGGCCACACUGGGACUGAGACACGGCCCAGACUCCUACGGGAGGCAGCAGUGGGGAAUAUUGCACAAUGGGCGAAAGCCUGAUGCAGCGACGCCGCGUGAGGGAUGACGGCCUUCGGGUUGUAAACCUCUUUCAGUAGGGAAGAAGCGAAAGUGACGGUACCUGCAGAAGAAGCACCGGCUAACUACGUGCCAGCAGCCGCGGUAAUACGUAGGGUGCGAGCGUUAUC
This 464-nucleotide ribosomal RNA is filed under the name Micrococcus luteus. RNAcentral's name for it is "bacterial SSU rRNA". It matches the Rfam family "Bacterial small subunit ribosomal RNA", at positions 43 to 545 of the family's 1533-position model. The record is from RNAcentral. Lineage: Bacteria; Bacillati; Actinomycetota; Actinomycetes; Micrococcales; Micrococcaceae.